RNAcentral lists this ribosomal RNA (327 nucleotides) under uncultured eukaryote. RNAcentral's name for it is "partial 18S ribosomal RNA". It matches the Rfam family "Eukaryotic small subunit ribosomal RNA", at positions 1470 to 1796 of the family's 1831-position model. The record is from RNAcentral.
CCCUUAGAUGUUCUGGGCCGCACGCGCGCUACACUGACGAUGGCAACGAGUUUUUCCUUCGCCGAAAGGUGUGGGUAAUCUUUUGAAACAUCGUCGUGCUGGGGAUAGAUCAUUGCAAUUUUUGAUCUUGAACGAGGAAUUCCUAGUAAGCGCGAGUCAUCAGCUUGCAUUGAUUACGUCCCUGCCCUUUGUACACACCGCCCGUCGCUCCUACCGAUUGAAUGAUCCGAUGAAUAUCAUGGAUUGAGGAUGCAAGCAGGUUCGCCUGUCUUCAUCUUCGAGAAGUGAAGUAAAUCUUAUCAUUUAGAGGAAGGAGGAGUCGUAACA